RNAcentral lists this non-coding RNA (84 nucleotides) under Clostridium taeniosporum. Its description in RNAcentral is "c-di-GMP-II sequence". It matches the Rfam family "Cyclic di-GMP-II riboswitch aptamer". The record is from Rfam by way of RNAcentral. Lineage: Bacteria; Bacillati; Bacillota; Clostridia; Eubacteriales; Clostridiaceae.
AGUGAAGUUGGAAACUGUGAUUAGUUCUCUUAAUUUGGGCACCUUGAGAGCUAUGAGUUAGUGGUGCAACCCGCCAGCAAUUAA